CAGAAAGCACAGGCAACCUGGUGGCCUGGGAUGCCUGGUCCUCACAUGUGUGCGCUGCUGUCCCUGCCUGUUGCUGCCUAGGGAGGCACUCUGCCUGAAAUAAUGCUGCCAUCCUCGGAUUUUAAAGUGCUGCUUGCAGUACUUUGUCUUCUGAAGAUUUGUCAGCUUUUCCAUCACAGACCCCGCUGAACUGCAUAUGGAGUAGGAAUUAUUAUCUUCAGCCAGCUGAAAUGGCAAAUGAGACCCAACACAUUGGGACUACAAUCCCACAAAGUUGUGGGAGAAAAAGAAGAGCUCUGCCUGUGUGAUCUCCUGCACCUCUGGCCAGCAAGGAGGGGUAUGAGAGAGAAUAGAGUUCCCUGCACUGCUCCACAACAGGCCAGAGCAUCAUGGACUGCAGAGCUGGGGCUGUCUGGAUAAUGACACCAGGUCAGACCUCACUCUUCAACCCAAUUCUGUUGAAGGACCUUCAAUUGUCACUGACAUUAAGAAGAAAAGUUUUUUUCCCCCAGAACUGACAGCUGGAAACACCUGGAUAAUAAGUACAGCAACUUCAUGCAAUUGUAUUUUCUCUUCUCUGACACAUUGUUCCUCUUCCGGCCAAGUCACUAAACCAAGUCUCUGCUGGAGAAAAUAAACUAGAUUUUGAUUUAAUGAAGGCCUUUGUAGGGUCGCCAUGGCAAAGCUGUUUGGGCUGAAUGACUGGGACCUGUCCACUACUCUUGAAAGUUAUGCCUUAUACAUCCUUACACACAUCAGGUAGUCUGCAGUCACCAGAUCAACCAUUUCCAAUGGGAGGCCUUUCCCUGGUAUCUUUAGGUAAUGUAGUGUACAUGUCUUGGCUUUAUUUUUCAUGCUUUGAACAAAGAAUUUGCAUGCUACCAUGUGUCUUGAGAGAAAACAACAGUGCCAGCCUCUGCCCCCUCUGUGCUCUGCAGGCAGGGCUCUCAUUCACUGGUUGCAGUUGAAGCUAUCAUACAGUGCUGAGCCCAUCUGUGGUGCAGACUUAAAUACUAACAAUCUACUGAUUUUUAAAGCCAGACCAACAGGAAUCUAAUUUAAAACCUGGUAUAUAGUUGUAAGUAUUGUGACUUAGACUUACUGAUGCCCAUGUUUGUAUGGGGGUAAUAUCUAUUACUUCAGACGGAGCUUUGGGAACAGGCUUAUAUAAAAUUUUGUCCCAGUAAAAAACAAAAACAAACAAACAAACAAAAAAACAUUAAUUGCCCGUGAAUUGCCUCUGAAUUGCCUGGCUUUUGCUAGCUUGUACCAGAUUUGAAAUUAUUUAAUGCUGAUUUUUUACAUGUAAUGCCUCCAACCUUCUUGUCUGCCAGGCAGCUGUUUAGUGUCACAUUGGAUCUGCUCCAGCUGGACCUGAAUUCAGAUAUCACUCUGGGUGCUCUCCUCUCUGACAUCAACUAUUAUUCCUUAGAAAGUGCAAAUAAAUAAAAGUAUAAAUUGAAAGAAUCAAGAGGAAAUAUGCGCAGAGAUUUUUUAAUCUUACUUUUGUUUGAUUCAUCAAAGGCAGCUGAGUCCCUCUAGUGCUUCCGUGUUGUGCUCUGCACUUGUUCCAGGAGGAAGGUAAAGAGAAAUGGAAAACAUCACUCUUCAUUAUCCUAGCAUAUCCCCAAAUGUGUAUGUUGGUUCACUGGAAGAGAAAAAGGAGAUGAACAUUGCAUUGCGCUUAAUUCUCUUCUAAAUCUGGCCAGGCUUGAUUGUGAAAUCCAAUAUCUGGUAUAUGUUUCAGUAGU
Molecule: long non-coding RNA, 1751 nt
Organism: Anas platyrhynchos (mallard)
Lineage: Eukaryota; Metazoa; Chordata; Aves; Anseriformes; Anatidae
Source: RefSeq, a predicted model, not a curated record